UAACAAUGGCUUUAGUGGCGGACUGGUGAGUAACGCGUAAGCAAUCUGCCUAUUAGAGGGGAAUAACAGUGAGAAAUCACUGCUAAUACCGCAUAUGCCAUAGUUAUCACAUGAUAAUAGUGGGAAAGGAGCAAUCCGCUAAUAGAUGAGCUUGCGUCUGAUUAGCUAGUUGGUGGGGUAACGGCCUACCAAGGCAACGAUCAGUAGCCGGACUGAGAGGUUGAACGGCCACAUUGGGACUGAGAUACGGCCCAGACCCCUACGGGAGGCAGCAGUCGGGAAUAUUGCGCAAUGGAGGAAACUCUGACGCAGUGACGCCGCGUAUAGGAAGAAGGUUUUCGGAUUGUAAACUAUUGUCGUUAGGGAAGAUACAAGACAGUACCUAAGGAGGAAGCUCCGGCUAACUACGUGCCAGCAGCCGCGGUAAUACGUAGGGAGCAAGCGUUAUCCGGAUUUAUUGGGUGUAAAGGGUGCGUAGACGGGAAAUUAAGUUAGUUGUGAAACCCCUCGGCUUAACUGAGGAACUGCAACUAAAACUGGUUUUCUUGAGUGCGGGAGAGGAAAGUGGAAUUCCUAGUGUAGCGGUGAAAUGCGUAGAUAUUAGGAGGAACACCAGUGGCGAAGGCGACUUUCUGGACCGUAACUGACGUUGAGGCACGAAAGUGUGGGGAGCAAACAGGAUUAGAUACCCUGGUAGUCCACACCGUAAACGAUGGAUACUAAGGUGUAGGGGGUAUUAAGCUUUCCUGGGCCCGCCCCAACCCAAAAAAUAUCCCCACCCUGGGGGAGUACGGCCGCAAGGUUGAAACUUAAGAGAAUUGACGGGGGCCCGCUCAAGCAGUGGAGUAUGUGGUUUAAUUAGAAGCAACGCGAAGAACAUUACCAGGGCUUGACAUAUGCAGGAAUAUGUUAGAGAUAGCAUAGCUCUUCGGAGUCUGCAUACAGGUGGUGCAUGGUUGUCGUCAGCUCGUGUCGUGAGAUGUUGGGUUAAGUCCCGCAACGAGCGCAACCCCUGUGAUUAGUUGCCAACACGUAAAGGUGGGAACUCUAAUCAGACUGCCGGUGAUAAAUCGGAGGAAGGUGGGGACGACGUCAAAUCAUCAUGCCCUUUAUGUCCUGGGCUACACACGUACUACAAUGGCCGCUACAGAGGGAAGCUAAGUAGUGAUAUGGAGCAAAACCCUAAAAACGGUCUCAGUUCGGAUUGAAGGCUGAAAUUCGCCUUCAUGAAGCUGGAAUUGCUAGUAAUGGCAGGUCAGCAUACUGCCGUGAAUACGUUCCCGGGCCUUGUACACACCGCCCGUCA
Molecule: ribosomal RNA, 1306 nt
Filed under: uncultured bacterium
Lineage: Bacteria
Description: bacterial SSU rRNA
Rfam family: Bacterial small subunit ribosomal RNA
Source: RNAcentral